AGACCGAUAGCGAACAAGUACCGUGAGGGAAAGAUGAAAAGAACUUUGAAAAGAGAGUUAAAAAGUACGUGAAAUUGUUGAAAGGGAACCGUUUGAAGCCAGUCUUGCUUACUUGUGAUCAAUCUUAGCUUCGGCUUGGAUGCACUCUCGAGUUAUGCAGGUCAACGUCAGUUUGAGAGGUGGGAAAAAAGUUUGAGGAAUGUGGCCUUCGGGUGUUAUAGCCUCUUACUAAAUACCAUCUCCUGGACUGAGGCUCGCAGCAAAAAUGUGGGUUGGUUUGCUCCUGAGGUGAAUCAUUAUUAAGACAGCUUGCUGACUUAGUUUUGUGGAUCUUCACGGUAGACCAGCUUCUAAUUUGCUUAGGUCGUUGACAUAAUGGCUUUAAAUGACCCGUCUUGAAACACGGACCAAG
Molecule: ribosomal RNA, 412 nt
Filed under: Umbelopsis isabellina
Lineage: Eukaryota; Fungi; Mucoromycota; Umbelopsidomycetes; Umbelopsidales; Umbelopsidaceae
Description: eukaryotic LSU rRNA
Rfam family: Eukaryotic large subunit ribosomal RNA
Source: RNAcentral